Molecule: long non-coding RNA, 2138 nt
Filed under: Lathyrus oleraceus (garden pea)
Lineage: Eukaryota; Viridiplantae; Streptophyta; Magnoliopsida; Fabales; Fabaceae
Description: Pisum sativum (pea) long non-coding RNA (PSAT_LNC039481)
Source: RNAcentral
UUUCAACUCAUUUGUCAUUAAACCAUAAACAAUUUUUCCAACAUUCCAAUUCAAAUAUAUUUCAAUUCAAUUUUCCAUUUAAAAUUACAUCUCAAUAUGUAUUUCAAUUGUGCUUCCAUUUCCAAAUUUACCAAUGACAUUCAAGCAUCUCGGAUCAAACUUUUUAAAAUCAAAAUCCAUACAUAUUGCAUACAUACAACUUUCAAUUUCAAGCCAACUAUUACAAUAGAAUUCCACAUUCCAAACUACAUUUCCAAUAUACCAAUCCUAUGCUAAUCUAAUCAACCCACUCCAAUCUUCAUGUAUGCCAAGUAAAUAGGAGCUCUUUCGUUGACCAUCCAAGCAAUUCGAUUAUAGCCAUUCGUAGUAAUUGUUAAUAACCUGCAUAUUCGAACUAUCAUUAAUUUCCAGCAACAUAAAUUCAACUACAAGCUUCACUAGUUUCAAGUUAGAAAUCAAUAGCAUAUUAGCUCAUACACUUAACUAACUAACACAUCAACAAUUUCAGGAAGAAAACAACUACCACUUUAUAACAGUUCCAUAAGAUAUUGAAAUUAUGACAUAAUAUGCAUCAGUUUUUGCACAUUACUUCAACUCAGUAGGUUUUUUGACUGUCAUGCUAUUGUCAAAACCAAUUCCUAAAUUCACUACAAACCAACCUCAAUGCACAUUCAGUUUGCAGACCCAUUAGCACUUCAUCCCAUUCUAAAUUGAUUACAAUACAAUGAACAUACUUGCACCUAGUUAACUAACCAUCAUAAAUUAACCUACAACUAACAGAACAAUUAUACUGAUAGUUAAAUUAAACACAACAGAUUAAAUCCACCAAAUCGAUUGAAACCUCAUGACAACAUUUUUUCACAUAAAUCAACCUCAGCCCAAAUUCAUCCAUUAGAUUAGUCGUAGCUUGAUCAGUAGCGUCCAGUCAACAUUAAAUUACUAAUUAGUAGAAAUUUACACUUUGAGAUAAUGAUGUCUAAUUGUCAUAACAUAAUAGUAGUAUUAACAGGGUAAUCUAACUAUUUCACAGUUAUAAUUAACUUUUUACUCUAUGAGAUCUAACUACCUAGCUCAAGCAACUAACAUAACUGAAUCCAAAGCUAACUAAUUAAUAGAGUAUAAAAUGGUUAACUAACUUUGGUGGGAGGGAGAUUAACAAAGUUUGAUCUAUGUUAAUCUCAGCCUAUAAAGCUGCAUCAUCUUCUUCAAUUCAGGGAUUGAUUGAUAAUAACAGAAAAGAACUCAGAAAUAGCAUGGCCUCUCUCCUCAACCUCACACAAACCUCAUUGGAAAUUCUCUGCAUCUCAAUCUCUCUCAUUCUCAAUAUCACUCUCCCUCAUUUCAGUCCUCUCAAGUCUGAAGCACGCAGGGCAAGCAAACUAAAAAGAACAGAGGGAGAAGAAGGAAAAAGCAUCGCAGAACAAGAGGAGUAGAAGUAAGAGAAGAGGAGGAUUAUUGAGCAAUUGGAAUUGAAUUUGUACCUCUGGUGAAGUCCCUGGUUUUCUCUUCUUCGUUCGCCUUCAUCUUCUCUAGAAUUCAACGGUUACUUAGGAGAAACUCGUCCUUGUAAGUAGGUUUCCGCUCCCUUUUCGCUUUGAAUUUGUUUUCGCCAUGUAGUAUAGGGCAUGUGGAAGCAAAACCCUCUCACUCUGAUUUUUGAUUCCGCUGUUGUUUCAUUUAAUUUUAAAUUAUGGAGUUAGGGUCCUUAGAUAAAAAAUUUCGGUUAGGACAUUAGGUUAGCAUAUGGCAAAAUUGAUGGUGGAUUCGGGUUAAGGGCGAAAGAACGAGUUUGGGGGUGUUUGAGUUUGGGGGUGUUUGAGUUUGGUGGUUUGGCCCUCUGGCGUCGCCAGAGGCGACAUCUGGCGCGGUGGGCAGGUGACGCAGAGUGAAGUUCAUUUUUAGCUGAGCGCGUUGCUUCGUUUUGAACGCAUGAUCCGUAGCGUUUCCUUCCUUCAUGUGUGGUUAGGCCUUGGGGUCCCUAUUGGCCCAAUAUUUACUCAAUACACCUUGCCUUCUCCUAUACCCACUGUGAGUGUGGAUUUAGUGCCUGGGCCUGAGGCCCCAGGCCCAUUCGCUUCCUAGUGUUGUUUACCACCCAUUUUUGUGCCUACACUCCCUCCUUUGAUAGUUGUUUCAUC